Molecule: ribosomal RNA, 256 nt
Filed under: uncultured bacterium
Lineage: Bacteria
Description: partial 16S ribosomal RNA
Rfam family: Bacterial small subunit ribosomal RNA
Source: RNAcentral
UGUUACCUACGGGGGGCAGCAGUGGGGAAUAUUGCACAAUGGGGGGAACCCUGAUGCAGCGACGCCGCGUGGGUGAAGGAGCACCUCGGUGCGUAAAGCCCUAUCGGCAGGGAAGAAACAGACGGUACCUGACUAAGAAGCCCCGGCUAACUACGUGCCAGCAGCCGCGGUAAUACGUAGGGGGGAAGCGUUAUCCGGAUUCACUGGGGGUAAAGGGAGCGUAGACGGCGACGCAAGUCUGGAGUGCAAGCCCGGG